AGUCCGGACUCGAAGGCGGCGGCGGCGGCGGCGGCGGCAGCGGGCGCCUCGCGAGGACCCGGGAGCAGCGCAGCGGCGAGCAGAGAACACGCCAGAGAGAAGCCCAGCAAGUGCAUGGUGGAAGGACCGGGACAGGGUUUCACCAUGUUGGCCUGGCUGGUCUGGAACUCCUUACCUCAAGCGAUCCACCCACCUCUGCCUCCUGAAGAGCUGGGAUUACAAUGCUGAUGAGACCACCUUUAUGGAAAUUAAGGAUGCCGAGGACAGUAAAACUGGGAUGUGCUAAUGCAACAGGCAUGCGUAAGUGUAAACUUGCUGUGAUAGACAAAAGCCUGCACGCUCACUGUUCUCAAGAACUAAAUUGCUUACUAGUUUAUUAUGCUAACAAAAAGGAAUGGAUCACCGGAGCUGUCUUUUCUGAUUGUUUUCCCAAACUCUGUACUAGUGGCUCAUGCUCACUGCAGGGAAGCUGAACUGGGUGACAACUGCAAGACUGUAUUAUUCUUUGACAGCAGUUCUGCUCAUCUUCCAGCUGAAAUUCUCAUCAAAAAUAAUGUUUAGGCCAAUAAAUUUCCCCCACCUGUGACUUCAUUAAUUCAGCCAUGCAACCUGGUAUUCUUAUAUCCAUGAAGAAUAAAUAUGCAAGUACUUUCUUGAAUAGCAGGCUAACAGCAGUGAACAAAGGCAUGGAUGCAGAAGGUUUUCUAAAGGAAUUUAGCAUAAAGGAUGCGAUAUGUGCUGUUACCAAUGCUUAGAAUAUAGUGACUAAAAACACUUACUCCUGUUUAUUCUGGUACAACCUCGGACCUAAGACUAUGUUCACUAAUCAUGAUGAACAAGGUCAUGGAUUUGAAGUAUUCCAUAUGUCAAGUGUCCAAAAAAAGACGUCUGACCUCAUUACAUGUGCAAAAAGUAUAUCUUCAGAGUUCAGUAAGCUGGAAGAAGCGAAUGUGUCAGUUCAUAAAAUCAGAGAGAGACUUCUAAGACAAAAACCAUUGUUAGUGAAGCCAAUGACUUUGAAGAAAGCAUUUUACAAAGUCAUGCAGCAGUCUGUUCAUCUCUAGAGGACCCACCCGCUUCCUGGUUUCUUGACUGCUUCUGAUAGUUCUUCUCAUCUAAGAAAGUAAAACACAGUGUGCAAUGCGUUUUAAUCAAACAAAGCAUCCUAGGUGGAGACUGAGAGCCUGCUGCUGUUUAUUGGUGCUGUUGUUUAACAGCUGAUGCAGGUGCCUGGUGCUGCUGCUAUGCUGCUCAAAUACCCUGAACACAUUAUUAUUUAACUGUGUUUAUGACAUGUCCUUUUUUUUUUUACUGUUAAGUACGUAUCUGUGAGUAAGUGUGAGAAAAUUCUUGCUUGCUGGUAGCUUAUAAAUUCAGAGUCAGGAAUAAUGGUGAUGCCAAACAACCACACAUUGUCUACAUGUGUGACAGAGAGAGGGACCUCUUCACUUUGAUAGUUCAAUGUACACAAACUUUGUUUUACGCUCACAGUUAUUUAAAAUAUUGCAUGAAAUUACCUUCAGGCUAUGCAUAUAAGGUGUAUAUAAAACAUAAAUAAAUGUUGUGUUUAGACAUGGGAUCCCAUCCCCAAGAUAUCUCAUUCUGUCUAUAUGUGUAUGCAGAUAUUCCAAAAUCUGAAAAAUUCUGAAAUCUGAAAUACUUUUGUCCUUAAGCAUUUUGUUCUUAAGCAAUGUUAUUUAUGAGCUAACUGAGACAAAUAGAUUUAAGAUGGUUUACUAAAAGUUUCACAGUGAAUUCAUAAGACAGAUAGAGUGGCUGGAAUGAGUUCUUUUUAGAGUCCCAGAAAAAUCUGAAAAAAUAAGAUUAUUUUGUUUAAAAGUAUGAGAACAUUACAUGAGAAGUAGAUUACAUGGUCACACCAGAAAUCACUACUAAGAUACCAUAACUAAUGUAACAGAAGGAAAAUGGAUGAUUUAUACUCAUUAAUUUAUUUAUAGAUAAGUUCAGGUGUUUUAAAGAGUACAUUAUUUAUACAACAUAGUUCACUUGUGAUAUACUGCAAAUAACUAAGUUUCCUUCCUCAGAGCAGAAGAGAAAGGAGCAUUUUAAGUGGAAAUAGGUCUCAAGUAUUAGGAAGGAAGAAAAUGAUUCUUCAGCAUAUAAUUCAUGUUUAAAGGGAUAGUUGAAAAUUUUCCAAACAAAACUUUAAUUGACCAUAUUUUUCCACACAUAGAUAAAAAUCUAAUGAUCUAAUAAAUUUAGCAACUAAUCAAAUAUACAUAUGUAUAGGAACUUGUCUGCAUCUUAUUUAA
Molecule: long non-coding RNA, 2273 nt
Organism: Callithrix jacchus (white-tufted-ear marmoset)
Lineage: Eukaryota; Metazoa; Chordata; Mammalia; Primates; Cebidae
Source: RefSeq, a predicted model, not a curated record